RNAcentral lists this ribosomal RNA (253 nucleotides) under uncultured bacterium. RNAcentral describes it as "partial 16S ribosomal RNA". It matches the Rfam family "Bacterial small subunit ribosomal RNA", at positions 524 to 776 of the family's 1533-position model. The record is from RNAcentral.
UACGUAGGUGGCGAGCGUUGUCCGGAUUUAUUGGGCGUAAAGGGCGUGUAGGCGGCCUGUUAAGUCGGAGGUGAAAACCCGGGGCUCAACCCCGUGCAUGCCUCUGAUACUGAUGGGCUUGAGUGCUCUAGAGGGCAGUGGAAUUGCCGGUGUAGCAGUGAAAUGCGUAGAGAUCGGCAGGAACACCAGUGGCGAAGGCGGCUGCCUGGGGAGUAACUGACGCUGAGGCGCGAAAGCUAGGGGAGCAAACAGG